Molecule: ribosomal RNA, 253 nt
Filed under: uncultured bacterium
Lineage: Bacteria
Description: partial 16S ribosomal RNA
Rfam family: Bacterial small subunit ribosomal RNA
Source: RNAcentral
UACGUAGGGUGCUAACGUUGUUCGGAAUCACUGGGCAUAAAGAGCGCGUAGGCGGUCUGAUAAGUCAGGUGUGAAAUCCCCCGGCUCAACCGGGGAACUGCACCUGAUACUGUUGGGCUAGAGUGCGGAAGAGGCGAGUGGAAUUCCUGGUGUAGCGGUGAAAUGCGCAGAUAUCAGGAGGAACACCAAUUGCGAAGGCAGCUCGCUGGGACGUAACUGACGCUGAGACGCGAAAGCGUGGGGAGCAAACAGG